GGCGCUAUAGCUAAGUGGUAAGACAAAGCUUUGCAAAAGCUUCACUCCCCAGUCAAAUCUGGUGGCAUCU
This 70-nucleotide transfer RNA is filed under the name Paenibacillus terrae. RNAcentral describes it as "tRNA-Cys". It matches the Rfam family "tRNA". Rfam says of the family: Transfer RNA (tRNA) molecules are approximately 80 nucleotides in length. Their secondary structure includes four short double-helical elements and three loops (D, anti-codon, and T loops). Lineage: Bacteria; Bacillati; Bacillota; Bacilli; Caryophanales; Paenibacillaceae. The record is from RNAcentral.